GGGGCUGUAGCUCAGAUGGGAGAGCGCAUGACUGGCAGUCAUGAGGUCGUCGGUUCGAUCCCGAUCAGCUCCACCA
RNAcentral lists this transfer RNA (76 nucleotides) under Deltaproteobacteria bacterium. RNAcentral's name for it is "tRNA-Ala". It matches the Rfam family "tRNA". Rfam says of the family: Transfer RNA (tRNA) molecules are approximately 80 nucleotides in length. Their secondary structure includes four short double-helical elements and three loops (D, anti-codon, and T loops). RNAcentral also lists the same sequence under 3 other names. The record is from RNAcentral. Lineage: Bacteria; Pseudomonadati; Myxococcota; Myxococcia.